This is a long non-coding RNA of Macadamia integrifolia, 802 nucleotides long. RefSeq lists it as uncharacterized. NCBI's taxonomy places the organism in Eukaryota, Viridiplantae, Streptophyta, Magnoliopsida, Proteales, Proteaceae. The transcript is spliced from 2 exons. The record is from RefSeq and is a predicted model, not a curated record.
AGUGCAACAAGGCGGCUGUCGCCUAGGCCCCAGGCAAACCGCCUGGACGCCUUGGCGACGCCUUGACAACUAUGAUUGGAGUGAUGUGGUUCUCAUUGCCGCCUAUUGAUCAAUCGGAUGCCCUCCCAUGUGUUACAAUUCCGCUCUCCACUCACUAUUCGUCAAGGAAGUUCAGAUUUUCUCGUGCCUCCUAAGGUGUUCGGUUGUGUCUGUUAUGCAUGCAACCAUCACUCGCAUGGGAAAUUUGACCCUUGAAGCAUCAAGUGCAUUUUCCUAAGGGGGAGCAGUUGGAUCAGUUGGAAGAUGCACCACCUAUUGUUCUUCCUCCCUAUCCUACGGAUAAGGAGACUAGGAUUCAAGGGGAGCGGCCAUCUCAGGUUCUUGAUAAUGGAGGUGAGUCACAAUAAUGGGAGUGAGCCCUUAAGGUUUAUACUCGUCUCAAGCACCACAAGCACCACAAGCAGCAACAACCCACUUCAGCUCCAGUGCCAGCGCCAACUCUACCUAGCCAACCAUCGCAUGCCCUUGAUCUUGGUCCCCUGUCUACCUUGGUAAUGAUUCCUUUCUUGAUUUACCCAUAGCUGUUCGUAAAAGCCCUAGAACCGGUACUCAGCAUCAUAUCUCCAAGUUUGUUUCUUACUCAUCUUUAUCCUCUUCCUAUCGUACAUUUAUGUGUACAUUAUGUGUCUCUCUUCCUCAAAACUGGCAGGAAGCAUUGGCUGAUCCAAGAUGGAAAGCUGCUAUGGUUGAAGAAAUGCAGACACUUAAGAAGAAUGGUGCAUGGGAUCUUGUGACUCUUCCU